RNAcentral lists this ribosomal RNA (774 nucleotides) under uncultured Neocallimastigales. RNAcentral describes it as "partial large subunit ribosomal RNA". It matches the Rfam family "Eukaryotic large subunit ribosomal RNA", at positions 24 to 644 of the family's 3401-position model. The record is from RNAcentral. Lineage: Eukaryota; Fungi; Neocallimastigomycota; Neocallimastigomycetes; Neocallimastigales.
UAUCUCUGUAGAGUCUGCAUAUCAAUAAGCGGAGGAAAAGAAACUAACAAGGAUUCCCUUAGUAACGGCGAGUGAAGCGGGAAGAGCUCAAAUUUGAAAUCUUCAAGGUUCUACCUUGACGAAUUGUAGUUUAAAGAAGUGUUUUCUGUUAGAUGAGUAGCAAAAGUUCCUUGGAAUGGGACAUCAUAGAGGGUGAGAAUCCCGUAUUUGGUUAUUCAUUCUAGCUUUGUGAUACACUUUCAAAGAGUCGGACUGUUUGGGAAUGCAGUCCAAAAUGGGUGGUAAAUUUCAUCUAAAGCUAAAUAUUGGCGAGAGACCGAUAGCGAACAAGUACCGUGAGGGAAAGAUGAAAAGAACUUUGAAAAGAGAGUUAAACAGUACGUGAAAUUGUCAAAAGGGAAGCGUUUGACACCAGUGUUGUUUUUCCGAAAAUCAAUUACGAAUGGCUUGAUUUUGUGUUGUAUUGACCUUAUCAGCUUUCUUCACUUUUUUCGAGUCUUUCUUAAUGCACUUUUCGGUUAACAAGUCAACAUCAAUUUCUUUUGUUGUAAAAGAGUAUUCGGAAGGUGGCUUUCUUUUCGGAGAAAGUGUUUAUAGCCCUAUACUUCUACAAUCGGAGAGAUUGAGGUCUGCAGCGUAGAUCCUUCGGGGUUAGAUACACUUGUGCUAAGUUGUAGCUUUUCAUAGACAACUUGUUGACUAUGUUUAGUCAUGCGGCUUACUCGCUUGUGCUAUUUUACCUACGCUUAGGAUGUUGAACUACUGAGACAUAGA